This 755-nucleotide ribosomal RNA is filed under the name Salmonella enterica subsp. enterica serovar Kentucky. RNAcentral's name for it is "partial 23S ribosomal RNA". It matches the Rfam family "Bacterial large subunit ribosomal RNA", at positions 566 to 1315 of the family's 2925-position model. The record is from RNAcentral. Lineage: Bacteria; Pseudomonadati; Pseudomonadota; Gammaproteobacteria; Enterobacterales; Enterobacteriaceae.
CACAAAACAAGCGGUGAGUGCUUUGGGGUGGGGUGACUGCGUACCUUUUGUAUAAUGGGUCAGCGACUUAUAUUCUGUAGCAAGGUUAACCGUAUAGGGGAGCCGAAGGGAAACCGAGUCUUAACUGGGCGUUAAGUUGCAGGGUAUAGACCCGAAACCCGGUGAUCUAGCCAUGGGCAGGUUGAAGGUUGGGUAACACUAACUGGAGGACCGAACCGACUAAUGUUGAAAAAUUAGCGGAUGACUUGUGGCUGGGGGUGAAAGGCCAAUCAAACCGGGAGAUAGCUGGUUCUCCCCGAAAGCUAUUUAGGUAGCGCCUCGUGAACUCAUCUUCGGGGGUAGAGCACUGUUUCGGCUAGGGGGUCAUCCCGACUUACCAACCCGAUGCAAACUGCGAAUACCGAAGAAUGUUAUCACGGGAGACACACGGCGGGUGCUAACGUCCGUCGUGAAGAGGGAAACAACCCAGACCGCCAGCUAAGGUCCCAAAGUCACAGUUAAGUGGGAAACGAUGUGGGAAGGCUCAGACAGCCAGGAUGUUGGCUUAGAAGCAGCCAUCAUUUAAAGAAAGCGUAAUAGCUCACUGGUCGAGUCGGCCUGCGCGGAAGAUGUAACGGGGCUAAACUGUGCACCGAAGCUGCGGCAGCGACGCUUAUGCGUUGUUGGGUAGGGGAGCGUUCUGUAAGCCUGCGAAGGUGUCCUGUGAGGGAUGCUGGAGGUAUCAGAAGUGCGAAUGCUGACAUAAGUAACGAUAA